GACGAACCGUGCGAACGUUGUUCGGAAUCACUGGGCUUAAAGGGCGCGUAGGCGGUCCGACAAGUCAGGGGUGAAAUCCUGCAGCUUAACUGCAGAAGUGCCUCUGAUACUGUCGGUCUUGAGGGAGAUAGGGGUGUGCGGAACUUCCAGUGGAGCGGUGAAAUUCGUAGAUAUUCGCAAGAACACCAGUGGCGAAGGCGGCUCACUGGCCCGGUACUGACGCUGAGGUGCGAAAGCGUGGGGAGCAAACAGG
This 253-nucleotide ribosomal RNA is filed under the name uncultured prokaryote. RNAcentral's name for it is "partial 16S ribosomal RNA". It matches the Rfam family "Bacterial small subunit ribosomal RNA", at positions 524 to 776 of the family's 1533-position model. The record is from RNAcentral.